Molecule: ribosomal RNA, 445 nt
Filed under: uncultured bacterium
Lineage: Bacteria
Description: SSU rRNA
Rfam family: Bacterial small subunit ribosomal RNA
Source: RNAcentral
AGAGCGAACGCUGGCGGCAGGCCUAACACAUGCAAGUCGAGCGCCCCGCAAGGGGAGCGGCAGACGGGAGAGUAACACGUGGGAACGUGCCCUUUGGUUCGGAACAACACAGGGAAACUUGUGCUAAAUACCGGAUAAGCCCUUACGGGGAAAGAUUUAUCGCCAAAGGAUCGGCCCGCGUCUGAUUAGCUAGUUGGUGAGGUAACGGCUCACCAAGGCUACGAUCAGUAGCUGGUCUGAGAGGAUGAUCAGCCUCACUGGGACUGAGACACGGCCCAGACUCCUACGGGAGGCAGCAGUGGGGAAUAUUGGACAAUGGGCGCAAGCCUGAUCCAGCCAUGCCGCGUGGGUGAUGAAGGCCCUAGGGUUGUAAAGCCCUUUCGGCGGGGAAGAUAAUGACGGUACCCGCAGAAGAAGCCCCGGCUAACUUCGUGCCAGCAGCCGC